GACGAACGCUGGCGGCGUGCCUAAUACAUGCAAGUCGAGCGAACAGACGCGGCGCUUGCUCCUUUGACGUUAGCGGCGGACGGGUGAGUAACGCGUGGAUAACCUACCUAUCAGACUGGGAUAAUCUCGGGAAACCGGCGCUAAUACCGUAUAAUAUAUUGCUGCGCAUGGUUCAAUAGUGAAAGUCGGCUGUUCUGGCACUUAUAGAUGGAUCUGCGCCGCAUUAGCUAGUUGGUACGGUCACGGCCUAUCAAGGCGACGAGGCGUAGGCGACCUGAGAGGGUGAUCGCCCACCUUGGAACUGGGACACGGUCCAUGCUCCUGCGGGAGGCAGCAGUAGGGAAUCUUCCGCAAUGGGCGGAAGCCUGACGGAGCAACGCCGCGUGAGUUAUGAAGGUCUUCGGAUCGUAAAGCUCUGUUAUUAGGGAAGAACAAAUGUGUAAGUAACUAUGCACGUCUUGACGGUACCUAAUCAGAAAGCCACGGCUAACUACGUG
This 497-nucleotide ribosomal RNA is filed under the name uncultured bacterium. Its description in RNAcentral is "partial 16S ribosomal RNA". It matches the Rfam family "Bacterial small subunit ribosomal RNA", at positions 28 to 507 of the family's 1533-position model. The record is from RNAcentral.